AUGGGCAUGCCCAGUGAUACGGUUAGAACCUUGCACCAAGUUUCACUUCCUCCAGGUUUUACCAGCUGCAAAAGCAAGGAGGAGACAGAGGGAAGAGUUAAAACAGAAGGACAGCACCCGGCGUCACGUAACCCAGCCUUCUCUGGCUCCACCACCACCUCCUCCUUCCCAGCUCUUUCCCUCUCCUCCUCCUUCUGCUCCCCUCCGUUGCCUGUUCUCUCUUCCCGCACUCCUGGAGAUAGACGCUCAAGCCCGACGCCUCUGAAAAGGCAGCGGCAGUCGCCUUAUCCAGACCUCAGGAAAUUCGCUUUGACCGAUGUAUGCCUCAAGCUCUGGCUGGAGCUAAGGGGGAAUAACCGUGCAGAUUUCUCCUUAUAAAAAGACAAAAUAAAACCAAAAUGCAUCACCA
Molecule: long non-coding RNA, 409 nt
Filed under: Sus scrofa (pig)
Lineage: Eukaryota; Metazoa; Chordata; Mammalia; Artiodactyla; Suidae
Description: lncRNA (ENSSSCG00070030398.1)
Source: RNAcentral